This is a long non-coding RNA of Cryptotermes secundus, 620 nucleotides long. RefSeq lists it as uncharacterized. The record is from RefSeq and is a predicted model, not a curated record. The transcript has 3 exons. NCBI's taxonomy places the organism in Eukaryota, Metazoa, Arthropoda, Insecta, Blattodea, Kalotermitidae.
UGAAUUAGAGUCCCCACCUCCAAGCUGACCACUGAUGAUAGACCCAUUUGCUGUGAUAACAUCACCCUCCAGUCUCACUGCACCUUGUGCUGCCUGCAACAGAGUUCAUAAGAACCAGCUGCAGAGACACUGGUGGUUCCUAAUAUGGUGACAGAACUGUGAUGGCACCCCAUCUUCUUGCAGGAUAGUUUGAAGUGGUAACUGGGGCAGGGCAUACAGCUCCAGCAUGUCAAGUACAACCGUCCAUGCGGAGAAACAGAGGUUCGUGUCUUUCCAGGGGAUUUUGCAUGCAACAGACUGCCUGUAGUCCUCAGCAUUUGAAGAAACUUUCUCUACAAAAAUAAGAGACUACCCAGGAUGCUCAGCGACUGUGCACUUAAAUUCUGGACUAUGUUCAUAAGUGGUUGAAUAUUUGAGAAAAUUCGUUUUAUAAACUCUGUGCCCCACUAAAUCUCGAUAUGGAUGUAAUAUUUAGGUUGCUGAAUUUGUUGAAUGUGAAUGUGGAUGGCGACCCAUUAUUUUCGGAGGUUUGUGACUCGAAUGAAGUACCAUCCUGUGUUAAUGGAUAACUUCAACCAAGUGUUCACUGACCAACAACAACAACAAUAACAACAACAACA